GACGGGGGCCCGCACAAGCGGAGGAACAUGUGGUUUAAUUCGAUGAUACGCGAGGAACCUUACCCGGGCUUGAAAUGUGCAUGACGGGAGGCAGAGACGCCUCCUUCCUUCGGGCAUGCAUGUAGGUGCUGCAUGGUUGUCGUCAGCUCGUGCCGUGAGGUGUCGGCUUAAGUGCCAUAACGAGCGCAACCCCUUCCGCCGGUUACCAUCGGGUCAUGCCGGGGACUCCGGCGGCACUGCCGCCGCAAGGCGCGAGGAAGGCGGGGAUGACGUCAAAUCAGCACGGCCCUUACGUCCGGGGCCACACACGUGUUACAAUGGGGGGCACAGCGAGCUGGACCAGGGCGACCUGGUUCGAAUCAUGAAAUCCCCUCCCAGUUCGGACCGGAGUCUGCAACCCGACUCCACGAAGCCGGAUUCGCUAGUAAUCGCGCAUCAGCCAUGGCGCGGUGAAUACGUUCCCGGGCCUUGUACACACCGCCCGUCAAGCCAUGAAAGCCUGGGGCGCCUGAAGUCCGUUGCGGCGACGCGCGGCCGAGGGCGAUACAGGUGGUUGGGGCUAAGUAAGUAACAAGGGUAGG
Molecule: ribosomal RNA, 581 nt
Filed under: uncultured bacterium
Lineage: Bacteria
Description: bacterial SSU rRNA
Rfam family: Bacterial small subunit ribosomal RNA
Source: RNAcentral